GGCUCAGGAUGAACGCUGGCGGCGUGCUUAACACAUGCAAGUCGAACGAAGACAUCUGAGUGCUUGCACUUGGAUGGACUGAGUGGCGGACGGGUGAGUAACGCGUGGGUAACCUGCCUUAUACAGGGGGGAUAACAGUUGGAAACGACUGCUAAUACCGCAUAAGCGCACGGUAUCGCAUGAUACAGUGUGAAAAACUCCGGUGGUAUAAGAUGGACCCGCGUCUGAUUAGCUUGUUGGUGAGGUAACGGCCCACCAAGGCGACGAUCAGUAGCCGGCCUGAGAGGGUGAACGGCCACAUUGGGACUGAGACACGGCCCAAACUCCUACGGGAGGCAGCAGUGGGGAAUAUUGCACAAUGGGGGAAACCCUGAUGCAGCGACGCCGCGUGAGUGAUGAAGUAUUUCGGUAUGUAAAACUCUAUCAGCAGGGAAGAUAAUGACGGUACCUGACUAAGAAGCACCGGCUAAAUACGUG
RNAcentral lists this ribosomal RNA (477 nucleotides) under uncultured bacterium. Its description in RNAcentral is "bacterial SSU rRNA". It matches the Rfam family "Bacterial small subunit ribosomal RNA", at positions 21 to 507 of the family's 1533-position model. The record is from RNAcentral.